GGUCUACUGUUUCUCUGAUGUUUGUUGGUGGAAGAAAAACCUCCAGCAGUGACGGAGAAAGCUCUUCCUGCAGGGGAAAAAAAAAACCCUGGUUUAGUAGCUUAGCUGGUGGAUAUCGACACUGGCCACCUGUUGAAGAGGGAGGCCAUUCUCACGGUGCGUCCAACAAGCUGGUUUUUCUCGCACUGAAUGGGUUUGCCAUGGCAGCGGCCAUCGGCACACACGGCACCGUGGGGGUGGCCAGUCAGUGUCAGCCCUCAUUACUAUCCAGCGCUUUAUUGGAAGCCUCUUCCAGGAGUCCUUCACAAACAAAACAGAAGGGGGAUGCUUUUACACUUUAAUGACUUUCCCACAGUGGCGCUCCUGAACAACAAGCUCCCCUAGAAUGGCCGCAGAGGCUGGAGGAGAGUCCCCCACACACAAGUUCAGCAGAGGAAGGGAAAUACUGGGGCCACUGUGCUCGACCCUGCAAGGCCAGCCAACGAGAAGCAAGGAAAGCGGGGAGAAUCAGAUCUUUAUGUGGCAUGGGGCCUAACGGGGGGGACAGCUUUGGUAUUGUCCAUGCUGCCCUCCCCCUCAUCUUGGUUCUAUUGUUCYUCAUGUCACGUUGAAACACCCCACCAUGACAAAAAUUAAGGUAUUGUCAUGACCUCGGUGUUCCUCCGAAGAAAACCUGGAAAUCUGUUGACCCGAGGCUGAACUGAUGAGUACCAAACUGUACUUUUGCACACAGGGGUCACCACAGUGAGCGAAAUGUUUACUCAAGAUGUCCUUCCUGACAACCACUGRGGCGGGGGGCUGCAGGGGUUUCGUACCUGCAACUUACAGCCACUGUUUAUAGACCCAAAACACACCCCUUCAACUUAAAAUACUUCAUGUCUUUAAAUGAGCAUUYAGUUGGGGUAAAACGUCAUUUACAAAACUUUCUGUUCAAUAAAUUGGCUGCUUUUAAAACAUGUAAAAACCUCAACUGUGGUUUAGGUUUUGCUUCUUUUUCUUGAUGACUUGACCAUAAAACUCAUUUGUAUCAACCUACAGUCAAAUCGAGCACUCAAACAAAUAAUAUCUCAGGCAAAUUCAAAAACAAAUAAAACAGAAUUUAUAGACAGACAGCUACUGAUAGGUUUUAAGAGGUGCCAAAAGUCAACUUUUACAUC
This is a long non-coding RNA of Austrofundulus limnaeus, 1157 nucleotides long. RefSeq lists it as uncharacterized. The transcript has 3 exons. The record is from RefSeq and is a predicted model, not a curated record. NCBI's taxonomy places the organism in Eukaryota, Metazoa, Chordata, Actinopteri, Cyprinodontiformes, Rivulidae.